CGCCCCUCCCCCGCCGGCCCGCCCGAUCCCGCCGGGCGCCCCGUGCCGCCGUCGCCUCGCUCGGCGGAGCUGCUGCGGGCGCUCGCCCUGUGCGCGCGGGCUUGGAAUAUGGUUGGGGAAAUGGAAGCCAAGGAGAAGCCGAAGCCGAGCCCCGAUUACUUGAUGCAGCUGAUGAACGACAAGAAGCUGAUGAGCAGCCUUCCUAACUUCUGUGGGAUCUUCAACCACCUCGAGCGGCUGCUGGACGAAGAAAUUAGCAGAGUACGGAAAGACAUGUAUAACGACACAUUAAAUGGUAGUACGGAGAAGAGAAGUGCAGAAUUACCAGAUGCUGUGGGACCUAUUGUACAGUUACAAGAGAAACUAUAUGUGCCUGUAAAAGAAUAUCCAGAUUUUAACUUUGUUGGAAGAAUCCUUGGGCCCAGAGGACUAACAGCUAAACAGCUUGAGGCGGAAACAGGAUGCAAGAUAAUGGUCCGAGGGAAGGGCUCAAUGAGAGACAAAAAGAAGGAAGAACAGAACCGAGGCAAGCCCAACUGGGAACACCUGAAUGAAGAUUUGCAUGUACUAAUCACUGUGGAGGAUGCUCAGAACAGAGCAGAAAUAAAACUGAAGAGGGCUGUUGAAGAAGUGAAAAAGUUACUGAUACCUGCAGCAGAAGGAGAAGACAGCCUUAAAAAGAUGCAGCUGAUGGAGCUUGCAAUUCUGAAUGGCACCUACAGAGAUGCCAACAUCAAAUCACCAGCCCUUGCCUUUUCUCUUGCAGCAACAGCCCAGGCUCCAAGGAUCAUUACUGGGCCUGCGCCUGUUCUCCCACCAGCUGCCCUGCGUACUCCUACGCCAGCUGGCCCUACCAUAAUGCCUUUGAUCAGACAAAUACAAACCGCUGUCAUGCCAAACGGAACUCCUCAUCCCACCGCUGCAAUAGUGCCACCAGGACCCGAAGCUGGUUUAAUUUACACCCCGUACGAGUACCCCUACACGCUGGCACCAGCUACAUCAAUCCUUGAGUAUCCCAUUGAACCUAGUGGUGUAUUAGGUAUGGCUUUCCCAACGAAAGGCUAAGAAUUCAAGAACGGUCUUAACUGAUCCUUCAUCAGAUCUGAAUUUUAACAAAUGCUUAGUUUCAGCAGCCUUGAGAAAAGCUUGGCCUAGCAGUCAGUGACUUACUUGCACUUUUUUGCACAUAGAUUUAAAAUAAAAUAGUGCUAUUAAUUUGGAUUAGCCCCUAUUAUUACAGAGUAGCUGUAAUUUAUGAGUGUAUAGUAGUAUACUGACUGCUAAGUGUUCUAUAUAGUGUUUGCUUUACUAAUCACCUAAUUCAUUGCAGUUCAUACUUAUUGACUUAAAGUAUAAAAUCACAAUCUGUAGGCUUGAAGAAUUGCUUUAAAACUUCUUUUUUGUGGUAGAACUGGAAAUGAUCUUAAAGUUAGCAAAUAAUUGUCAGUAUUAAAAGAUGGCAUUAUUUAAAAUAGUCCUGCUGCAAGAAAGGCACUUCAGUGAAUAUGUGACUAGUAAAGCUUAAAUGUGCUUGGGUCUAAUAGAUUUCAUGAAAUACUGUAAUUUUGGGAUUGUAAAUGAAUGGAUUAAACAGGUUAAGGCCAGGAUGUUUAAAAUAAAUGCAAUAUUAAUCUGCACAGAUAAACUUCUUAUGGUUAAAAUUUGAAACUACUGUGCCUUAACUUGUUGCUUUUCUUAAAAUGAACUUUUGUAGUUAAUGAUCAUUUAAAUCCAUUUUGAUAAACCUGCUGUUAAUGUUUUCUUUGAAUGUUUUCUAACUUUGUCUUGAUAAUUGCAAUUUAACUAGGUGCGGUGGCUACUAAAGUUCGAAGGCACGAUAUGCGUGUCCAUCCUUACCAAAGGAUUGUGACCGCAGACCGAGCCGCCACCGGCAACUAACCUAUGACCUUCUGACCUCUGAACUCUUCACCCAAUGAUGACCUGACCAUGCCUGCCUGCUGAUCAGUUAACUGGUAAUCGCCUUUGCUUGCCUGUCUUCAGUGCAGCGAGCUGGGGCACUUGUCCGUUCGUCUUACCAUCUAACAAAACAGACAAAGAAAUUGUUGUCCUCCAACUCCGCUUUUUUGUGUUCUCCUGUCUGGGUGAAAGUGGUUCUAGAACCUGCACUGAAUAGUAGUAAAGCAAUAAGGUCCAAUUCAUCCCUCCGCACUGAUCAUCCUCUAGCGUCCCGCCCCAAGCGAACGGUAAGGAGGCCUCGCACAAGAUGGAGACAGAUGUCCCUUAACUACCGAUGACAGAGGCAGUUACUGUGAGAGACUUCUAGGAAUAUUUUUCUUCUCAAAAAAGAAGUCAAAGCUCUCUCUGAAUGUACUGUGUGAUGAUGCAUCAUGCAUGAACCUUUGGUCAGGGAUGUCAUUGGUGAAGGGAUUCCAAAAAGUAUUCAAAAUUUGACAUGCUGUUUAGUCACUACCAGUGCCCUCAAAGGGCGGAAGUUGCAGCCUUUUUUCUAUUGCCUGCCAAAUUGGAUGUUUUAAAAAAAUAAAAAAAUAAAAAGAGUGCCAUGAAAAACAGUGAAUUUUCAGAACUACAUCAAUGCCGUGAACAAAACAGCAACACUAUGAAAGCUAAAUCUGAGUUUAAAUUAUUUUAACCAUAUUUUAAUCUCCUCGGAAGAUUACAUGAGAACAAGGUACAUGCAUUAUGUGUCACAUUACUGGGCAAACUGUUCAAAUAUUUUUUUUUAAACCUCCCUGUAUAGAAAAAAAUUCAUUAAGGAUGUAAAAGCCAUGCUUGCCUAUUUGCUGUAUACAUGUAACGAAAUUGUAGAUAAAGUGUAGUGCAUUGAAACAAAAUGAACAAAAAAGUAGAUACUUUUACUAUACAAGGGUGCUGGUGCAGAAAAAAAAAUAUAUUUUUGGAAAUGUAGCAUUUUAUACUUUCAAGUGUUAUAAAAAAAAAAGAAAAAAAGAACAAAGAAACCCUUUAUUUCAUUAAAUGAUUUUUUCUGGUGGUUGUCAAGAAACAAAAGACCAAAAGAGCCUUUUAGUCUUUCUUUUUUAUUUUUUAAGUAUUGGAAUAAGUCUAAAGAAAAGGAAGUGCCUUAUUUUCUUCAUGGUCAUUUAGUCAAAUGUCUUGUAUAAUCAUCUUCUCCCUCAGACAAGUUACUGCAUGCCACUCAGUCGCCCAGUAUGUGAAAAGAAGCUGUGAGGAAAGACAAAUGAUGAGUUGACCAUAUUAAUUACCUGAUUUUUGCCAUAUUAGUGUGACGUGACUUUGCCAUAACCACAUUAGGAAAAACAUUUGGUAAGUUUUUGUCAAAUCAGCCCAUAGUUACUUCCACAACUCUGCUUUACGAAUCAGAGCUAAUACACUACUUGUGCAACGUAAACCAAAGGUUCUGUGAUACAGACUGUCUUAUUCUAAAUUAGGCUAUUAGCUGAGAAACGUUGGUAGAGCUGGAAGAAUUUCUUUUUUGUUCAGGGAUGGAGACAAGUUUUCUUGACUUUGGUUGGAAUAAAUAUGCAUCAGACAUAGUAGACUUCAGAGUCAUCCAGAAAACUGGUGUUCUGUGGAUAAUGAAAGUGCUUAGCUAGUCCUCAGUUAAGGUCUGAGCAUGUCCCCCAUUUUUGUGAGCAGUUUCUGCAGUGUCAAGCAGUAAGCAAGUAAUUUAUUUUUCAGCUCUCCUUUGAUUAAUGUUACAUUUGCCUACUGGCUUUCUUUCGCAAGAUAAGCAGGAGGGGGACAUCAGUUAGCUGUUUGAAGCCCAGCUAUGCUGUAUUUUUAACCCUUACUUUCACGUGAGAUUGAUAUAGCUGGGCAAUCACAGGAGUUGAAGCUGUUGAACGCACAGUAUUUGAAUCUAAAAACAUUAAGUAUCACUUUGUGUGGAGCUCAGUACUAAGCUUGGCAAAUAUCAGGUGAUAACUUUACUCCCCUUCUUGUCAACUUACUCUCCUCCUGCAGAUCUUCACAGCUUCCAAACGAAAGUUCAAUAGUAAGCUAAGAGGGCUUACAUUUUAAGCACCUGCAUGGUGACCUCAUCUAACAUCUUGUCUCACCUGGAAAUAAUUAUCAGUUUAUUUACUAUGCAAUAGACAUUCAUCCUUUUGUAUUCAGCUAGCUUUUUGUUUAUUGUACCACCGGCUUUGUCUUCCUGUUACACAUACAUUGUUGAAUUUUACUUACAGUAUAUACUGUGCCAUUUUGAUUCUUUUUUUUUGGUUGGUUGGUUGAAUAAACUUGCGACACUCAAACAUUUGAAGAGAGAUUUGCUGAAACAAUACCAGUAUUUGAUCCAGUUUCAUCUCAACUAUGAUAAAACCUGGACAUUUUAGAUGUUUAUCAAAGGUCUUUUAUUGGGAGGGAGGGGAAGUAUGUGAAACAGAUGUGUGACAUGUGAAAGUAAUGUUUGCUCUGAACAAAUUUUCUGAAAACUUAGUUGACAAAAUUUUGGAUCAACUUAGGAAAAAAAAAAAGCAUGACUUUUGAAAUCUCUGAAUGCCUUGGUUCUCAGUAUUAUCAUUCUUUAAUGACUUUUUCUUUAUUAAAAUAAGUAGUUUUAAGACUUCUUUCUGACAGUAUUAUGUAAUUUUUUUUUAGAGUGGGUAGAUGGGAGUGUCGCUUGUAUGUAACCGUACAGAUGACAUGUAUUUGUCUGUUCUUUAUUAUCUUAGUAGUUUCAUGCUAUGUAUGUACCAUAACCAACCUAUUGCCUAUGAGAAACAUGUAAGAUAAUGUAUUUACAGCCAUUGUUACAAGUUUAUAAUGUAUUUUUCUAUCUUGUUUUAUAUGUAUGUUAUAUAACAUUCAAAAAGAAUUUUUUUCCUGAUUGAGAAAAAAAGGAUACAAAAUGCAAAACCCACAAUUUUGAUAACAGAGAAAUUGCCAAUUGUUUUGCAGUACUUUAUUAUAUUGGGAGUGUUGUCUUUCUUGGGCUUUUAGUUAGCUACUGGAUGAAUACAUUAGACAUAUUUGGGUUUUAGUUGGGUUUUUACAUAGCUUGCAUUUUAAUUCUUUGGUUCUUUGCUGUUUCUAUUAACCCAUAGCAUUAUUUUAAUAAAUGUUAUAAUACCAACCUACUAACUCUGGACUAUGUCUGUUUAUUAACCAUUACAUGUUUAAUUAAAGUAAACGAAUAAAGACGGAAGAAUGUAAAGUCUUGAGUUACUGGACUAACCCUGAAGAACGUGACCACAGAUAACACAACGUGACUUGUUUUUAUGUUGUUUGUCGGCUGACAUUCUGCACACUACUAUUAAGUUGGCUUUGGUCGUUCUGGCCUUUUACCUUGGGGAAUAGGUGCCAGUAGAUAAGGGAACAAAGUAGCUUUUUUUUUUUUUUUUUUUUUUUUUUUUGAGGCAUUCUUCUUGUAGUCUUGCCACUUGCCUUUCAGCAUCUGCAUUACUAAUUCCACACUUUCUUUUUCUUUCUCUAAAAUAAUUACUGUCGGCUCACAGCAAAAGAGCAAAGAUGCCAGUGUAUUGGUAAAUCAUGAUGGUGUACAGAAACCAGUUUGAUUCUUUGUUGAACCAUUCAGAGGUUGCAGUUAAUCUUGUUGCAAUUGGUGAUUUGAUGGCUUGGGCACCUGUUGCAUCAUGGUACAUUUCCAAGCACAAAAUACAUCUAGAUGUGAUUAGCAGUACGUUGAAAUACAAAAUCUUCUUUUAUUCCCUUGCCAAAAGUGCCUUAUUUUCUUCAUGCCGUGCUAUUUUCAUGUAAUAUUUUGUACUUCUGCUAUAGUCUAUCAGUAUUACAUAGCUCAGGGGAGUACAAUUUCUGUAAGCCAAAGGUCAGAACGGAUCAUUUCCUAAUGACUGUAGAAAGUAUAAAAACACACCUUUCACUAAAUUUCCAAGCAACAGCCAUUUCAAAUUCCAUGUCUGCCUUUAUGUAAUCUUUAUCCCUGCGGAUGACUGUAGCAACAUGAAUGCAGGGAAUCGAAACGGGGAAAACACUGUUUUGAUUGUACCUCUAUGCAGAUGAUUUUUAUGGAAACGUUUCUCUUGCCGCUUCUGUUGUCUGAGGCUCCUUUCCACAGCAUGGGUAGUUUUGCAAUCUUAAGGGGAACAGUCAUUACAGCUAAUGUCAAAGGAGACUGUUGAUGUAGAUCACUCUUCAGAUAUCAACAGCCUUGGUGAAAAACCCCAUUUAUUUUUGUGUCUAUAGUAAAAAUUCAGAUAAGGAGAUUUUUCAACAUUUAUGGUGUUUCAAACUAAGCAUUUCAAAGUCCACGUGAUAUAAAAUCUUAAGAAGUUCUUCCAGUAUUGAUAAUAAUUGAAAUUGUAUGCAUCUUUAUUUUAUGGAAGAAAAAUAAGUGAGCCACGAUGAAGAUGUUUGUUUUAUGAGAAUGUGUAGCUUUUCGUUUGUUCUACAGAAACUCAUAGGUACAGUUAGAUUUCUAUCAGUAUAUUUAGAAUAGUUUCACUUGUACAGAAAUUUGAACAGAUCACAAACAUGCUGCUAUCCUAAAAGUCAGUCACAGGCAGAUGAUGAAACAACAAAAAAGGGCAUUUUCAACAGAUAACAUUAGGAAACUUUGAUUAAGUGAUGGCACGAGUGUCAUUUCAGAGUCACUAAUUUAUAUCCUUUGAACGUUUCAUCAGAGGCGCAUAUUUAAAUUCAGUGAAGCAUUCUCCAGUGUAAGUGAAACUAUUCAGAUAGGAUAAAUGAUGUUAUGUAUUGAAAAAUAGUUCUAUUCCUAAAACUACUACUUUUUCUUCAAUGUUUCUAAUGCUUUCUAUUUUUCAUUAGAUGUGAACUACUGUCAUACUUGGUCCACAGUGCAUUUUCAUCUCAUUCUUUAAAGUCCUGAGAAUUGCCCUAAAUUCUGAAGUAUUUUAAAGCAGAAAGAGAGCAAAAUAAUGGAAGCCCUUAAAAUCCAAAUUUUAUAAUAAUUGCUUUUGACCAUCAAAUGGAUUUCUCAGUUUACAUUAAAUGCCUGCCUGAACAUUUAUUUUAUACUUUGCUUAUUGAAAAGAAACAGGCUAUUUUUAGAACUGUAUUUGUGGGAGGAUGCCUUCAGUAUUUCAGCAUCACUGAAGCUGGAUUGUUCGUUAUUUUCUUCCAUGGUUAAAUUCUCUUUACAUUUGAAAGAUCUUACAUUCAAGUCAUGUAUAGAGUUGCUGGUCUGUCCAGUAACAUGGAUUAAUUUUAGGAGAAACUUUUUUUUUUUUUUUCUUGUAAAUAGCUCAGAAUAUAAGCAAAAACACCACAAUGCCUUUUAAAAUAUAACCUGAGCAGUGCUAUUGAUUUCUUAAGUGAAAUGUUGUGCCAAAUUAUAACAAAUUUUAUUUCUCUGA
This is an RNA transcript of Lagopus muta (rock ptarmigan), 7259 nucleotides long. It is a transcript of the gene named QKI, KH domain containing RNA binding, with no coding region annotated. The record is from RefSeq and is a predicted model, not a curated record. The transcript is spliced from 8 exons. NCBI's taxonomy places the organism in Eukaryota, Metazoa, Chordata, Aves, Galliformes, Phasianidae.